GACGAACGCUGGCGGCGUGCUUAACACAUGCAAGUCGAACGGAAAGGCCCUGCUUGCAGGGUACUCGAGUGGCGAACGGGUGAGUAACACGUGGGUGAUCUGCCCUGCACUUCGGGAUAAGCCUGGGAAACUGGGUCUAAUACCGGAUAGGAGCCAUCUUUAGUGUGAUGGUUGGAAAGUUUUUUCGGUGUAGGAUGAGCUCGCGGCCUAUCAGCUUGUUGGUGGGGUAAUGGCCUACCAAGGCGGCGACGGGUAGCCGGCCUGGGAGGGUGGACGGCCACAAUGGGACUGAGAUACGGCCCAGACUCCUACGGGAGGCAGCAGUGGGGAAUAUUGCACAAUGGGCGCGAGCCUGAUGCAGCGACGCCGCGUGGGGGAUGACGGCCUUCGGGUUGUAAACUCCUUUCGCUAGGGACGAAGCUUUUUGUGACGGUACCUAGAUAAGAAGCACCGGCUAACUACGUG
Molecule: ribosomal RNA, 465 nt
Filed under: uncultured bacterium
Lineage: Bacteria
Description: partial 16S ribosomal RNA
Rfam family: Bacterial small subunit ribosomal RNA
Source: RNAcentral